Molecule: ribosomal RNA, 312 nt
Filed under: uncultured Archaeospora
Lineage: Eukaryota; Fungi; Glomeromycota; Glomeromycetes; Archaeosporales; Archaeosporaceae
Description: SSU rRNA
Rfam family: Eukaryotic small subunit ribosomal RNA
Source: RNAcentral
AGCAGCCGCGGUAAUUCCAGCUCCAAUAGCGUAUAUUAAAGUUGUUGCAGUUAAAAAGCUCGUAGUUGAAUUUUAGGCCUGGCCGGAUGGUCCGUCUUUGGCGAGUACUGUUCUGUCGUCGGGUCUAUCCUUCUGGUGAGCCGGGAUGCCCUUUAUUGGGUGUGUCGGGGAACCAGGACCAUUACCUUGAAAAAAUUAGAGUGUUUAAAGCGGGCAUGUGCUUGAAUAGAUUAGCAUGGAAUAAUAGAAUAGGACGUUGGUUCUAUUUUGUUGGUUUUAGGACCACCGUAAUGAUUAAUAGGGAUAGUUGGG